Scatophagus argus is the source of this 1050-nucleotide long non-coding RNA. RefSeq lists it as uncharacterized. The transcript is spliced from 3 exons. Lineage: Eukaryota; Metazoa; Chordata; Actinopteri; Scatophagidae. The record is from RefSeq and is a predicted model, not a curated record.
GACAGCCAUGUUUUGACACAGCGCGCUAAAAAUAGCACGUUCUUAAUAGAAAAAAAACCCCAAAACAAAACAGAGUGCCAGUCAAAUCCAGACUGGCACGGGCGGGGAGGAGCAUUUCUUCCAAAGACAGUCCUGAGAACUGAACUGGGGGGGCAUGGUAAAUAAGAGCAGAGCGAUCGGUUGCAGGGCAAACCACUCAGAAUGUGAAACCGCUCGCAUCUCACGGAGACCGUGAUCCCACCUGACACGCGUGUGUCAUGCAAGGCCAUGCAGCCGUGUACGAUUAACAAACUAAAGCAAUUAAGAAUCAGCAUGAGCAACUUCACAGCUCUGUUAUGUAAUUCUCCAGCCUGUGGGGCUGUGUGUUAGGAAGAUGGCGGCAGACAGGCCUGUUGUGUUUUCUGCAGCACAUAUAUGGCCAUUAAUCACGCUCGGUCUCUUUGCUCUUUUUCUAUUUCCAGCGAAGCGGCGGCCCGAGGGCGGCGGACCUACGGCACUGCAGCACGUGCAGGCUGGACUUCAGCAUCGCUGCAAAUGUCACACAGUGUUAGCACGCUCACUGCAGGGCAGCCUACGCUGCAGGGACUUUUUUUUCCUCCCACAUGGCGAGACACCGCGAGUGAUGCUGAAGCCCGUGGCCAUAACGACCGACAGGCCAGACUGGAGAUGAAGGCGGCCGGUGUCAGCAGGCUCGGACACACCCGACCCUGGAGGAGACUGGAAAGGACUCUCUCUGCGAUCGCAGAUAAGGCUGUGAUAAACCAGAUCUCAGCAUCCUGAGUGUGCCGCUAUCUGGCAAGACUGUAGAGAAAGUACUGACUUUCACACGUGACGACGAGAAACUUCGUGGGAUUUAAUCAACACCAAGCAGAAGACGCUCUUCUUGUGUCAGCUACAUGUGAGAAUCCGCCCUGCAUCCUCGAGCUGAGGGGACAUCCAGAGUACAGCCAGAGAAACGCAAGUCAUUUUGGGCUGUUUAGAUUUUAAAAAGUAAGUUAAACCUCUGCCUUAAAUAUGCAGCUGCCUCUUUUUGUGCAGCUGAUUGCUAAG